UACGGAGGUGGCAAGCGUUGUUCGGAAUUACUGGGCGUAAAGGGCGCGUAGGCGGCCUUCUAAGUCGAACGUGAAAUCCCCGGGCUCAACCCGGGAACUGCGUCCGAGACUGGAAGGCUCGAAUUCGGGAGAGGGAUGCAGAAUUCCAGGUGUAGCGGUGAAAUGCGUAGAUAUCUGGAGGAAUACCGGUGGCGAAGGCGGCAUCCUGGACCGACAUUGACGCUGAGGAGCGAAAGCUAGGGGAGCAAACGGG
Molecule: ribosomal RNA, 253 nt
Filed under: uncultured bacterium
Lineage: Bacteria
Description: partial 16S ribosomal RNA
Rfam family: Bacterial small subunit ribosomal RNA
Source: RNAcentral